GAAUAUACUUUGUCAUCCUGAUGCUUUUGGGGAGGCAGGCUGUGCUCACGCCUGUGCUCUUUCUCUCUAGAGAUCUCCUAUUUUUUCCCUCCCACCUGAGACUCUUCCUCCUCUGCCAGACACCUGUUCCAAGGAAGCUCCUGCAACAAGGUAAGGUGAAUCAAGCCUAGGUGGCCCUUGGCUUCUAUCUGGGUCCCAGGGCUUAAGGGUGCCGAUUACUUCAGAGCCGGCUGAAGUGACUUACAGAGCUGGGUCUUUGAUUUCAGGGUCUGGGCUUGUGUCAUGAAGGUUGAGUAUCCAGGGUGACAGUGAAGAAUCCUACUCCCACCGCAAGAGUGGAUUUAAGUGUUCCUGAGAGGAAGAGGAGUAAGACAUCUUGUUGGCCUGUGCCCCAGGGCGAAUUAGAGGAAGGGAGAGACUCUGAAGGAAGGAAAAGAAGAAACUUUUCAGAGAAUCCUCAAGAGACCCAUCUCUGGGAUGAAUGCAGCCUGUGGGCUGAUCAAGGGAGCACGGCUUUAGUGCAUUCAAUUCAUGAGCACCCGCCAAUCUGUCCUGAGGGAAAACCCUGCAGACUGAGAGCACUGAAAGCAUAGUCCUCAGCCUCAUGCCUUUUGGCUGAGAUGUCAGCCUCUGCAGAAGCCGAAGGCCAUCAGAGAUCCUGUCCAAUCAUCUGGAAUUUAGGCUCCACCAGCUGUCUGAAAGUGACCCACAGAUGAUAAGAGCAGGACAAGUCCUUCCUCUCAGGGGCCAGAGGUCUCUCUCAAAGUCUCCUGUGACUCUCCCUCCUCCUCCCUGCCCAUCACCACUACCCCAUGUCAUCCGGCUAAUCCCACUUCAAUUCAGCUCACCACCUGUAAAUACAUCUGGUUGCCUUAAUACAUACAACCUGUUCCUCACCAUUGUUCAUUUUUGUGGGUUACUUUUAGCAAGCCAUGGCUCAGUUAGGAAAAAAUAGGAACCACAGGGAGGAAUUUGAGACUUAGACCCAGGAAAGAGCACAUCCUGUGAAGCCAAAAAUGCCACUUCUACUACUCUCCAUUCAUGUCCUCAAGCACUGCUUUCCAGGUGCCACCUCCCACCAAAGCCCCAUUCUCCAAAUCAGACAUGCCCAAGGCUCAAACCAAGUACCUGUGGAUUCAGGGUUAUAGUGCUGGAGAAACCAAAGACUACGGGUCCAAAUGCACGUGCUCCCCAGAUAGACGGUCAAAUCAUCAAUACUUAGGGCUCCGUGAUCCCUAUGGAACUGACCACCUGGUCAUGAUGGAAG
Molecule: long non-coding RNA, 1267 nt
Filed under: Sus scrofa (pig)
Lineage: Eukaryota; Metazoa; Chordata; Mammalia; Artiodactyla; Suidae
Description: lncRNA (ENSSSCG00070008687.1)
Source: RNAcentral